Molecule: long non-coding RNA, 341 nt
Organism: Zonotrichia leucophrys gambelii
Lineage: Eukaryota; Metazoa; Chordata; Aves; Passeriformes; Passerellidae
Exons: 3
Source: RefSeq, a predicted model, not a curated record
CUGAAGGCCAGCAGUCACUGGAACUUGCAGUAAUGAGUCACCCACAGGGGGAAAAAAGCUCCCCCAUUUCUCCAUCCCCUCAGCUUUCCUGUGGAAGUGUAAAUGAGGAUCCAUCUUCCUGAUGUCAGCGAGCCCCCAGCCCACUUGCCUCUCUGACAGCAGAAAAAUGAGGACUCAAUGAAGCAGAAAAACAAUGUUAGUCUUUGGUGGCCAGGGAAAAGGAGGAAAGCUCGUGGUGGUCUCCAGAUGAUCUGGCCCUGACUGAAGCAAUCUCCUUCCACGAGGAGGGAGCAAAGGGCUGGCAAGUGCAGGUAAAGCUGCCUGCACUCCAUGUGCUAAGA